UACGGGGGGGGCAAGCGUUGUUCGGAAUUACUGGGCGUAAAGGGUGCGUAGGCGGGUCUUUAAGUCAGGGGUGAAAUCCUGGAGCUCAACUCCAGAACUGCCUUUGAUACUGAAGAUCUUGAGUUCGGGAGAGGUGAGUGGAACUGCGAGUGUAGAGGUGAAAUUCGUAGAUAUUCGCAAGAACACCAGUGGCGAAGGCGGCUCACUGGCCCGAUACUGACGCUGAGGCACGAAAGCGUGGGGAGCAAACAGG
Molecule: ribosomal RNA, 253 nt
Filed under: uncultured bacterium
Lineage: Bacteria
Description: partial 16S ribosomal RNA
Rfam family: Bacterial small subunit ribosomal RNA
Source: RNAcentral